AAGAAAUAAAGCAAACAUACAAAAUAACAAUAUUUACGUGAUUCACCCUUUCAACAAAAUGCUACUUUUACGGACAUGCCAUCUUUCACUUUCAGUAACAAUAAAUCACCAAUUACAAGCUCAAAUAAUACCACCCAUCAACCCAAUUACGACCAAAAGAAUCCACACUACAUAACAUAACUGCUCAUAGUAAAUAAAUUAAUUAGUCCUCUCAUUCUCCUCUAGACAUAACUCAAUAUAUUUACUAGUACAACUACUACAUCACAAAGAGUAUCUUUAACUAUAUGGGCAAUAGCACUCUUACCAACAGACAAGAAUUCUUUCCUCUUGAAUUUUAUGUCUUUUCUACACUUUAAGCCGAAGCCUCUCUCCACUGCAAUAAUGGAUAAAAUCAAAUCCUCAACAAUUGACAAAGUCCCUUUCUAUAAUGAGCGAUAACCUCCCUCCAUGGAUAAAACCACUCUCCAUGGAUGGACGAAACCAAAUAAUCUUUCCACCAUUCUCCUAUUUAUAGUGUU
Molecule: unclassified non-coding RNA, 518 nt
Filed under: Hevea brasiliensis (rubber tree)
Lineage: Eukaryota; Viridiplantae; Streptophyta; Magnoliopsida; Malpighiales; Euphorbiaceae
Source: RNAcentral